This 506-nucleotide ribosomal RNA is filed under the name uncultured bacterium. RNAcentral describes it as "partial 16S ribosomal RNA". It matches the Rfam family "Bacterial small subunit ribosomal RNA", at positions 29 to 523 of the family's 1533-position model. The record is from RNAcentral.
AGUGAACGCUGGCGGUAGGCCUAACACAUGCAAGUCGAACGGCAGCACAGAGGAGCUUGCUCCUUGGGUGGCGAGUGGCGGACGGGUGAGGAAUACAUCGGAAUCUACUCUGUCGUGGGGGAUAACGUAGGGAAACUUACGCUAAUACCGCAUACGACCUACGGGUGAAAGCAGGGGAUCUUCGGACCUUGCGCGACUGAAUGAGCCGAUGUCGGAUUAGCUAGUUGGCGGGGUAAAGGCCCACCAAGGCGACGAUCCGGAGCUGGUCUGAGAGGAUGAUCAGCCACACUGGAACUGAGACACGGUCCAGGCUCCUACGGGAGGCAGCAGUGGGGAAUAUUGGACAAUGGGCGCAAGCCUGAUCCAGCCAUACCGCGUGGGUGAAGAAGGCCUUCGGGUUGUAAAGCCCUUUUGUUGGGAAAGAAAUCCAUCUGGUUAAUACCCGGGUGGGAUGACGGUACCCAAAGAAUAAGCACCGGCUAACUUCGUGCCAGCCGCCGCCGUAA